CAAAAAUACCUCGUAGUAGGAGCAGAACAGUUUAGCCCAUCUGUGAUGCAGUACAGGAAAACAGAACAGAAAAUAGCAGCAAAAAACUAGGAGCAGCAGGCACUUGUUCUUGAUACAAAAGUUGAAACUAAUAGCAGAGAGAAAUACACAUUUACAACGAAAACCGUCUACCAUCCAUUUGUUGAAAAUGAUCUAAAAUGACAUCAUUAUCAAUUGUUGCAAGAACAUCUCUUUCUAUAAGAGUUACAAGACGAUUAUUUAACCAUUCAUCACUCAUUUUGUUACAUAGC
Molecule: long non-coding RNA, 290 nt
Filed under: Trifolium pratense (red clover)
Lineage: Eukaryota; Viridiplantae; Streptophyta; Magnoliopsida; Fabales; Fabaceae
Description: long non-coding RNA (TPRA_LNC008973)
Source: RNAcentral